Molecule: unclassified non-coding RNA, 401 nt
Filed under: soil metagenome
Description: partial contains 5.8S ribosomal RNA, internal transcribed spacer 2, and large subunit ribosomal RNA
Rfam family: 5.8S ribosomal RNA (bases 1-121)
Source: RNAcentral
GAUGAAGAACGCAGCGAAAUGCGAUAAGUAAUGUGAAUUGCAGAAUUCAGUGAAUCAUCGAAUCUUUGAACGCACCUUGCGCCCCUUGGUUAUUCCAAAGGGCAUGCCUGUUUGAGUAUCAUGAACACCUCAACUCUUGUGGUUUCCCACAAUGAGCUUGGACUGUGGAGGUUUUGUUGGCCCUGUGGUCAGCUCCUCUCAAAUGGAUCAGCUUACCGGUGUUUGGUGGCAUUACGGGUGUGAUAACUAUCUACACUCGUGGUCGUCUCCAAAUAACCUCCAGUGAUGGAGGUUCGCUGGAGCUUAUAAAUGUCUCUCCCCAGUGAAGACAGCCUUUGAACGUUCGAUCUCAAAUCAGGUAGGACUACCCGCUGAACUUAAGCAUAUCAAUAAGCGGAGGA